This 497-nucleotide ribosomal RNA is filed under the name uncultured bacterium. RNAcentral's name for it is "partial 16S ribosomal RNA". It matches the Rfam family "Bacterial small subunit ribosomal RNA", at positions 28 to 507 of the family's 1533-position model. The record is from RNAcentral.
GAUGAACGCUGGCGGCGUGCCUAAUACAUGCAAGUCGAGCGAACAGACGAGGAGCUUGCUCCUCUGACGUUAGCGGCGGACGGGUGAGUAACACGUGGAUAACCUACCUAUAAGACUGGGAUAACUUCGGGAAACCGGAGCUAGUACCGGAUAAUAUAUUGAACCGCAUGGUUCAAUAGUGAAAGACGGUUUUGCUGUCACUUAUAGAUGGAUCCGCGCCGCAUUAGCUAGUUGGUAAGGUAACGGCUUACCAAGGCAACGAUGCGUAGCCGACCUGAGUGGGUGAUCGGCCACACUGGAACUGAGACACGGUCCAGACUCCUACGGGAGGCAGCAGUAGGGAAUCUUCCGCAAUGGGCGAAAGCCUGACGGAGCAACGCCGCGUGAGUGAUGAAGGUCUUCGGAUCGUAAAACUCUGUUAUUAGGGAAGAACAAAUGUGUAAGUAACUAUGCACGUCUUGACGGUACCUAAUCAGAAAGCCACGGCUAACUACGUG